RNAcentral lists this long non-coding RNA (1332 nucleotides) under Nicotiana benthamiana. RNAcentral describes it as "long non-coding RNA (NBEN_LNC033258)". Lineage: Eukaryota; Viridiplantae; Streptophyta; Magnoliopsida; Solanales; Solanaceae. The record is from RNAcentral.
AAUUACCCCGUCGAAGACCUUCUCUCACUUUCCACAUCUGAAAAUUGGAAUCAAAACUCAAAAAUCAAAUAAAUCGAAAACAGAAGAAAAAUCAAAAAAAAUUCUAAUAUUCCAUUGAAGUUAGAGAUUGAUUUCAGUUUCUAUUUGUCAAUUCACAUUUUGUAAUUACUAUUGCUGCUUGUUGAAGUGUAGAGGUUCAUUUCAAGUGCAAUUGAAUCAAAUUAAGUGGGUUUUUCGGCUAAGUUUUGCACCAGUGAAGUUUCAUAAGGGUUUAAGUUCGGAUUUGAACUAGUUUGGGUAUUUUACUGGUUGUCUAUGCAUUGAUGUUCACUUGAUUGGUUUGUUGCUGUGUUGAAGUGGAUCUGCUAAACUCUGUUUGAUUUAAACAUUUCUGGGUUGCUCAUUCUAUUUCCUGGGCUGUUUUUAGUAUUGAACUGUUGUUGCUAUUCACCUGCUCCUCCUGACUCUUGUUUCUUCUUGCUGUGAUUUAAAAUCCAGGUACAUAUGCACUACCUAUACUGAUCUGGAGUGUAUGAAUUGUUUGAGAAAAUCAAUGAAGAAGAAGUUUGGUUUAUUUGUCUGACGUUCGUUGGAGUUUUGACCAGCUUUUCAUGUUUAGUUUAACUGUUCAUACUUAAUUGUGAUUAGAACAUUUGUUUGGACUAUUGAAUUUGUACCAUUUGGACCGAAAUGGAUGAAUUAAGAAUUAUUGGUAUUAUCUAAAUUUAACAUUGUGAGUUUGAGUGGUAAUUAAGUUCAUGUGGAGUUGGUAAAAUAAUCUAGGUUCAGCAUCAGUCAUUUCCCAUCCUAUGUUUCGUGGAUUUGCUUGGAAAGUGAUUCAAUGGUAGAAUAGCUUUUAAGUAGGUGAUUUUCGUUUUUGAUCUGUAAUUAAAAAGGGAAUUUGAAUAGUACAAUUCACGUCUACUAUGAUAACUGAAUAAUUUAGUCAUAUAGAGUGGGGUCCAGGUUAAAGUUAGAAUAUUUAUUUGUGUACAAAUCAUUAAGUCCAUAUGUGUGCCUUCUAGUCAUUAUCAAAAGAAAUCUAUUUAUCAAAAAAAAAAAAAAAAAAAAAAAAUUUAUCAAUAAUCAACAAACAUAAUUAAACUAUUAAAAAAAAAAACUUUUUAAAAAAAAAAAAAAAAAAAAAAAGAGUAGUUUGCAAUUUGGUUAAGCCAAGUGACAAGUUAAAAUGAAGCCACUUGACAAUUAUAAGACAACAUAAAAAAUUUGGAUAAUAAAUGGAAAAAUAUUUAAUGAAAGUAGUAAUCCAAGAUUUUCUAAGGUAUAUUUAAUUAAAUUUGUGUAAAAUUCAGUUAUGGUAGGUAUCCUUUU